RNAcentral lists this transfer RNA (85 nucleotides) under Archaeoglobales archaeon. RNAcentral's name for it is "tRNA-Ser". It matches the Rfam family "tRNA". Rfam says of the family: Transfer RNA (tRNA) molecules are approximately 80 nucleotides in length. Their secondary structure includes four short double-helical elements and three loops (D, anti-codon, and T loops). The record is from RNAcentral. RNAcentral also lists the same sequence under 1 other name. Lineage: Archaea; Methanobacteriati; Methanobacteriota; Archaeoglobi; Archaeoglobales.
GGAAGGUUGGCAGAAUGGCAUCGCGUCGGGUUGCUAACCCGUAGCCGCCCGAAAGGGCGUGGGGGUUCGAAUCCCUCACCUUCCG